This 459-nucleotide ribosomal RNA is filed under the name uncultured bacterium. RNAcentral's name for it is "partial 16S ribosomal RNA". It matches the Rfam family "Bacterial small subunit ribosomal RNA", at positions 338 to 795 of the family's 1533-position model. The record is from RNAcentral.
CCUACGGGAGGCAGCAGUGAGGAAUAUUGGUCAAUGGGCGGAAGCCUGAACCAGCCAAGUCGCGUGCGGGAUGAAGGCCCUACGCGUCGUAAACCGCUUUUGCACGGGGAUAACACCAUCCACUUGUGGCGGUCUGCGGGUACCGUGCGAAUAAGCGCCGGCUAAUUCCGUGCCAGCAGCCGCGGUAAUACGGAGGACCCGAGCGUUAUCCGGAUUCAUUGGGCUUAAAGGGUGCGUAGGCGGGCGUUCAAGUCAGCUGUAAAAUCGCGCGGCUCAACCGCGCCCCGCAGUUGAAACUGGAUGCCUUGAGUUCACAACAGGCAGGCGGAAUUCGCGGUGUAGCGGUGAAAUGCAUAGAUAUCACGAGGAACCCCGAUUGCGAAGGCAGCCUGCCGGGGUGCGACUGACGCUGAGGCUCGAAGGUGCGGGUAUCAAACAGGAUUAGAUACCCUAGUAGUC